UCGAUUGAGUUUGAUCAUGGCUCAGAACGAACGCUGGCGGCAUGCCUAACACAUGCAAGUCGAACGAGACCUUCGGGUCUAGUGGCGCACGGGUGCGUAACGCGUGGGAAUCUGCCCUUCGGUACGGAAUAACUCAGGGAAACUUGUGCUAAUACCGUAUGAUGUCUUCGGACCAAAGAUUUAUCGCCGAGGGAUGAGCCCGCGUAGGAUUAGCUAGUUGGUGGGGUAAAGGCCUACCAAGGCGACGAUCCUUAGCUGGUCUGAGAGGAUGAUCAGCCACACUGGGACUGAGACACGGCCCAGACUCCUACGGGAGGCAGCAGUGGGGAAUAUUGGACAAUGGGCGAAAGCCUGAUCCAGCAAUGCCGCGUGAGUGAAGAAGGCCUUCGGGUUGUAAAGCUCUUUUACCCGGGAAGAUAAUGACUGUACCGGGAGAAUAAGCCCCGGCUAACUCCGUGCCAGCAGCCGCGGUAAUACGGAGGGGGCUAGCGUUGUUCGGAAUUACUGGGCGUAAAGCGUACGUAGGCGGCUUUUUAAGUCAGAGGUGAAAUCCCGGUGCUCAACACCGGAACUGCCUUUGAGACUGGAUCGCUUGAUCACGGGAGAGGUGAGUGGAAUUCCGAGUGUAGAGGUGAAAUUCGUAGAUAUUCGGAAGAACACCAGUGGCGAAGG
This 672-nucleotide ribosomal RNA is filed under the name uncultured bacterium. RNAcentral's name for it is "bacterial SSU rRNA". It matches the Rfam family "Bacterial small subunit ribosomal RNA", at positions 1 to 721 of the family's 1533-position model. The record is from RNAcentral.